Aethalodelphis obliquidens (Pacific white-sided dolphin) is the source of this 7137-nucleotide long non-coding RNA. RefSeq lists it as uncharacterized. The transcript has 2 exons. The record is from RefSeq and is a predicted model, not a curated record. Lineage: Eukaryota; Metazoa; Chordata; Mammalia; Artiodactyla; Delphinidae.
GUGCACACGUACGCACGCACACAGUACACACAUGUGCACACGUACACACGCGUGCCUGCUGCUCCUCAGCUCACCGAGCUCCCCUGUGACUCUCCUGUCUCCCAUCUAGACCAGGAGCUCCCUGAGGGUAGGGACCGUAUCUCAUUUUCUGUUUUCCCCAUGCCUGGCAUCCGACAGGCACCAGUACAUGUUUGGUGAAUAAAUUAAUGAGUGCGAGGGACGAGCAUCUUGCUCCGUGGUGGUCGCGGUAUUUGAUGUGUUCUGUGGGAUGAAAGGUACAUUAAAAACUUUUAGAAAAGAGCUGGAGAGUGCAGGAGGCAAGUGGAGGUCUCUAAAUCCCAUGGCCUUACGGGUGGCGUCACGGAAAGGGGCUCUGGGUUUCUGGGGAUGGAAAUAAGGAUUUUUCUCCCUGCAUUAUCCCUCUCCCCCCUCCCCAGCAGAAGAGCCAGCAGCCUAGGUUCCAAGCUUUGGAGGCCUUCGUUACAGGCCCCAGAGUCCUCUCCUCCCUGUCCUUUGUUUCCUAGUCUGCUGGAGGAGGGUGGAGAAAAGAGGGCCCCAGGGGCCAGGGAGGGGUGGGAGCCAGCGAGGGUCAUAGGACUGUAGGGUCCUGAACCUGUUUGAAGACCCUCGCCCUCAGAAGGGGGCACACAGGGAGGCUGGGCUCAGGGCCCAGGACGCCAGGCUGCAGGCUCGGAGGCAGUGGGGCCUCGGGCUGUGCUGUGCAGCUGGGCCAGUGGACAUCUCAGCAGGAGCAGUGGGGAUUUUGCACAUUGCAGGGUCGGGGUGAGGGCCCAGGAGUAACUGACAGCGCAUUUCUCCCUGCGUGGCAGGUGGGUUGAAUUUGGUUUAGGAAUACACACGCUCAUAAUCAGGCCUCACACAGGUCACCCACGAUCGCCUCUGCUGAACAGACGGGGGGCUGGGUGUGGAACAGGACCCUCGCCUGGAUGACAGCUAGAGAGAAGCAGGGUUUGUGUUUCUCCUCACUUUGCAGGCACACCCUCCCUGGCAGCAGGGCAGGCCCACAUUCCCAACCUGAUUCUGUCCAAACUUGAGACUUUCUCCUAGAAAUGUCACCAAACUCCCCCUAGAGUCACCCUCCCUGUCCUGCUCCAGGAGCCCAGGGCAUCCCUGGAGGAGGUUUCCUGCCCACUCUUCUCCGAUCCUUACCUGCUCCUGGAGCCCAGAGGUGGCAGGUGGUGGGUGGCAUUCAGAGGAGCCCUUCCACUUGUCCGAGGCCAAGCAGGCUCUCAGCAAUGGCCAGGACUCGACCCAGGUCUCCAGACUCCGAGGUCUGGCCCAUCCUGCUGCCCUGGCCUCAACUGCUGGGCAGCUCAGGUUGCCCCAAAGAGACCAGUGAGCUGAGACAUGGGAUGGGGACACUUGGCUUCCCAGCUCUGGGCGUCAACUGCUAGUUACACUUUCCACUGGUCUUACCACUCCGGGCAGGCCGUCUGUGUCUGUGUCCCUGGUAGGAGAGGGUGGCAGUCAAAAUGGGACGGUAAGGGGGGCUCAGGGACCCUAACACAUGGGUGUUGGCAGUCAACCACCCAAAUCCUCUCUGGAGCUAGUUGCUCAGAGCUCAGUGCCAAGAGCCAUGGGUGGGUGGCACUCAGGAACCAGAGGUAGUGGCCUCACCCCAGGCAGCUCCCUCACCCCAGUGAGCAAACACAGUAUAGGAGCUUGUGUACAUGUGACUCUGGCACAAAGAGGCCAACCAAAGCCUCUGAGCUGGGUGUGGUGGGUGUUGGCGGCCCAGUGGUGGUGAGUGGUGGUGACAGGAUGCCUCGUUUCCCUGGCAACCUAGUGGAGGCUGUUCCACAAAUACCAGCCAGUGGCUGCCGCCGCUGGACGGCUGGGAGCACUGAGAUCUGAGAUCCGAGUCUGCCCGGCUGCCACCAGGUGCAGGGGGGCCCUGGCCCCCUCCUCAGCGGCCGUCCUCUGUGGUUGGUUCUGCGUGUAUUUAUUUUGUCAUUCAGCAAAUCCCUUACAUCUCUGCGUACCCAUCUGUGCAUCUUGGUACAGUCUCUGCCAGGAAUGUCCUUUCUCCUUUGACUGGUGAACUCCUCCUCCAACCUCAAUGUCCACUUCAAAUAGCCCCGCGUAUGGUCACAUGACCAUCCCGAGGUAAGCUCAGGACAGUCAGUGGAAAAGAUAAGCUUUAUUCAAAAGGCCUCAAGGAAGGUCUAGGCGAGCAGAUCAGGACAGAGGGAACAGGUCAGGUCAAGGACAGGACUUCGGGGUGAAUAAACCGUUAAGACUCUCCAUCAACUGUCUUUAGAGGCAUCGCAGAAGGAACACUAUCUUGCCCUGACUGGGUGGCCUGGGACAAGCCCCUUUUCCUCUCCAAGCCCCAGAAUCCCCUUUCCUAAAAUGGGGACAUCAGAGAAGGUAAUUCUUAAAGGCCCUCCCAGUGCUGACAACUUCAUGACUCUGUGAUUCUGGGGUGCCCUUUCCUCUCUCUCUGAGGGUUACCUAUCUUCCUGGGGAGCUUACAUCCUACCUGUCUGUCUCCCAGGCCGGCCUCUGUCCCGCUGGCCUCAGCCUGAGGCAGGGCUGUCUUUACUAGGUUUUCUAGCGUGGGAUCCACCGGCCGCUCUCCCCGGAGAGUCCCACAUGUCUCCCCAGUCUACCUGGGGUCUCUGCCACUUCCACCCUCACUCUUGCCAGGACUUUCUCAAGGAUCUACAACAGCUACUCACUUCCUUUUUUUCUCAGAUUCUCUCCAAACUCUUUCCCCGGCCUCAAAAGGAUUUUACUCCUUCUGUGGUAGGAAAACCACCGUGUGGUUAAUGGCGUGAACUCCACGCUCUGAGGCCUCUGGACUUUGUUCAUGUUACUGAAACCAGGCUUCCGGGAAAAGACGGCAGAAAGAACAUCUAGUCUUACUCUCUCCCAAAACCUCACGAGGGCUAUGGUAAAGAGAUCCACAUAUGCACGCGCACGCACACACACACGCGCACGCGUGCGCACGCCAGGAGAGCAGACCACAGCAAGGUUUGAGAAGCUGGGAAGCAGGUGGAAGAAUGGAACUGACUUAGCAGAUCCCAGAAAGUGAAAUCUCAAACCCACAGGGAAGAAAACUAAGAACUAGAGUUGUGCGUCUCAGAAUUCUCAAGGAACUAGAAGUAUCAGGAAACUUUAGAAGUCGGAGUAAAGGCGUGGCUGAAAUGAGGAGGGUUAAUCUAAAGUAGCCAAAGAAGGAGGUGGGUCCUGGGGUCCCCUCCACUCCUCACUAAUGGGCAACUGCCCAUUCCCACCCCAAGGGAAGACUGGAGAUUUACACCCUGGAAAAAGGUAAAAAGUGACCCUUUGGAUUGGAGGAUAUGGGGUCUCACCACAAACGGCGGGAUUAAGUUAAUGUGGGAACUCUGAAUGCUAAGGUCAUACCCCCAGGCCCCCUGCCUGAAGCCUGGGGGCUAAGCCUUCACUCUGGGGGUGGAAGGGGGCCGCUGGAAAUGUCCUCUCUGGAGAAAGGAGCCCUGGUGAGCGUCUGUUCUCACUCGUGCAUUCAGACCACACCACGACCCAUCACCAUGACAUUUCAGAUUACUGUGGCCCAAGAGCAGAUCCUACCGGCUUCCAGAGAGAGGAAACAAGUCACAUUCAAAAGUCGAGGCACGAGUUCGGGUUCUUACAGAGGCCCUGGAAGCUAGAAGACCUUUCAAAAUUCAAGGGAUAAUGAUUUACGAUCUAGAAUCCUAUAAACAGUGAAACACUUUGUCAAGUGAGAAGUUAGAAUAAGGACGCUUCCAGACACGCAAGAACUCAAAAUACUUGCCUUCAAUAACUCUCUUCUUGGAAACCUCUAGAGAAUGUGGUCCCUCAAAAGGAGUAACCCAAGAAAGAAGAGGCCACCGGACCCAGGAACCAGGUGUUCCGACACAGAAGAGCAGCAGAGGAAGCGCCUCUGCAGAAGCCAAGACAGAGGCCGGGCCACAGCUGAGCUCGGGACACGGGGUGGCAGGUCCUGAUCAGGGCGGUGCAGAAGCACUGGAGAGAUGGGCUUCUCCAGGAAGAUGAAACCGAGAGAGCCCCAGACACAACUGAAUGUCUCGGGAAGACCCUUUGACAACUGGCAAAAAGCCUGCAGUGGAAUCGGUGAUAAAUGCACGGAGAAUCAGGCUAUGAAACAACACGGUGAUUAAUUUCAGGGAUAACAAUACUCUGCAGAGAAGGAGAAGGAGUCGUAAGUCAUAGUUCACCACACUUUUCAACUAUAGAAAGUGUUUCCAUGGCUUAAUAAUAUAAAGAGUGGCUGGAUCGAAGCAAAAUUGCAUCACAGUUCAACGGGGACCAAGGGGUAUGGGAAGGGUUCACACGUCCCUGAGGAGCAGCGGGUGGAAGUCAGGAGACAGUGUCCACACGGAAAAAUUAAACAGUGGGUGUGCACGCGUGUAUCUGAGACGCAGAGGCCAGCCCAGAUCCUCGGGGAGCAAGUGACUGCUUCGGGGCGGGAAACAUGGGCGGAGGGUCCGGGGCUCCUGUUGUGUUUUCACAGCCCACCAUCUAGAGCACUCUGCCCCCUUAGUAGAUGCAGCGCGUGAAACUGAGAGCACAGGGGAGCGCAGGUGGCUGAGGCUCCUCGCUCGGGUGAGGUGAGCAACGGCCUCGUGGAGAGCCCUGGACAGCACGGAGGGGCACAUGCCUGUGGACCGGGAUCUACUUCUGGAGCCUGAGUUGCCAAAUUACAGGCUUCCUGAGGCAGCCUACAGUGCAGAGGCCCAGAACCAGUGAGAAUCCCGAAGCGUCUCAAGUCCCACCCUCCAGGACAAUGACGGGAACACAGCAGCAAGCAGUGGCACUUUCCAGCCUGGCCUCACCGUGGACGGCGGUCACCCACACCUGAUGCAGCCCCAGGUCCCAACCUGCCCUGGCCUGGCGCCCCUUGGGUGCUCUGAACGUUUGCUUGAAUUCAUGUCAUAGACAAAACGUUGAGCUAAAUUUGAUCUCAAACCUGGUGUGGCGGGGGGAGGGUAGGGGGGUGGUGUAAGUCUUUUUAAGGCCAUCUUCAGGCUGUAAGUAACAAAAUUAAUACACAUGUGUGUUCUGGCCCCGGACUUACCCUUUCUGAUCCUCACAUCCUCUAAGGAUGUUAUAAGGGAGGCGUUUUAAUUUUUCUCUUUGCGCAGAAGGCAAAACUCAGAGUCUGGGAGGUUAAAGCAUGAACCCAAGGCCGCGGGGCUCCUUGUGGAGCCUGAGAAGAUAUUCUCAAACUCCCCCAGCUGUGCACGGGGCAUUUUAUUUAUUUGUUGCUUUUUAUUUCACCUUUAAUUUCUGUUUCCAUCAGGCCUCCCAGAACCCACAGCAGGGAGGAGGGAGGCUGAGGCGUCCAGGCACUGGAGACGAUGAGGAGACCGGGGCUCAGCAGGUGAAAAACAUCAAAUCCAGGCCAGAGGUCUGGUCCAUUUAGCUCCAAAGCCUGUGCUUUCCACAGUACGAGCUGCCCUUCCACAUCCUAUCGCAGACAGGUGGUACGGUUAACUGGACUAACUACAGCUCCUGUGAAGACAGAUCUUACUGCACUUGGCUCUUCAGGGGGGCAAAACAGCGUGGCCUGUUCCAUAUGUCUGCCCACCAGGAACAGCGAGGCCACAGCUUACAGCCUCCUGCUUUCCCGGACAGUGUGUUUCUUCCCACUGUUCUCGGCGAGGAGUGGCCCCAGCCCUGUUGGCUCCUGUCAUUCCUGGCUGGUCCCCCGUGAUCAAGCCGGGAAGGGCAGGUGGUCGGAACAGCAGCGUGUGUGUGUUGAGCUUGUGACUGUAACUCUGGGUGCGUGUGUCUGUCUGUCUGUCUGUGUGUAGUUAAACCUGAUGGGGAGGGGGUGAAAUUAAAAUGUGUAUGUGUAUUUAUGUGGCUAAGUACCAGCUUGUCUGUGUGUGUGUGUGUGAGAGAGAGAGAGAGAGAGAGAGAGAGCGAGAGAGAGAGAAACCUAAAUUUGUGUGCAUGUCUCUGUCCUUCUGUCCUUCUGUGUGGCUGAAUUUCAGCUCAGACCCCUGUCGCCGGAGCAGCAGCUCCUUCGAGCCAGCGUGAGAAGGUUGGCAGCCCUACCAGGCUCCUCAUAGGAAUCCUCCAGGAUUAGCUGUCAAUCUCCACUGCUCUCCUCUCAGAUGGGUCCGGACAGGUCUGGAUGAACAUAAAUUCUGAAUCUCCUGUGGGCCACGUUUCUUCCAUAAGAUUCCCCUCUGUCUGCUGGAAUGAGCAGAGUGAGAUCAGACUGAGGCCUCAUUCUGGGGGCUCCCCUCUAAAUCACAGUGCCCCGAGGCCGCCUUAGAGCCCCGUGCUCCUGGGACAUCAGGGUCUUGGGAAGGCAACAACACUCUUCCUGGCAGGGAUGGAGGUCCUCCUUAGCCCCUCCCCACUGUGGCCCCAGCCUGGAAAGACCCCAGUGCUCAAAGGACACGGAUCCCAAGGGGCAGACAUGACAUCCGCCUCUGUCUCUCUCCCAGGUGUCACUAACUAAGGGACCCUGGAGCCAGUGCCUUUCCUGCUCUUGCCCUCAUUUCUAACGACCCUGAAGUUGUACCUGUGACAGGGGCCCAGAGACCCACCUUCUCUGUAGAUUUCAAGCCCAUUCCUUCCCAGGAAGCCCCUCAGGCCUGGGGAAGCAUCUGGGGUGUGGAAGGAGUACUUGCCUUCACCUCCAGACCUGCCUCCGCACUCACUGGCUGGGGGGUCUGUGGCCAGUGGGCUCCCCAAGCCCCUCUCCUCCCCUGAAGCAGAGGUUAGAUUCACGUCCACCUCAGCUGAGACAAACAACUGAGUUCUGUGCAGUGUAAACUCUUGGUGAAAGAACUUUGCCCAACUUUUUCUCUAUCGUGUAUGUAAAAUACCUUUUGCUCUUUGUUAUCUGUACAAGUUUCUUCUGGUUAAAGAUAAUACAUCCUUUUUCAGUGUUUACUUUCAACAUCUCUGAACUCUUAUGUUGUAGAUGUAAAUGGGAUAGAGUGGAAUUUUGUCUUUUAUCCAGUCUCACAAUCUUUAACAAGAUUAUUCAAUCCCCUUUAACAGUUUCUGAUUUAUUUCUUGUUAAAUGUAACAUUUUUUCAUAAUGGUAUUGUAGUGCUAUAUUUUUAAGUCCUUAUCUGGUAAAGAUACAUCCUAAAAUAUUUAUGAAUAAAAUGAUGUGAUGUCUGG